GACUGCCGGUGUUAAACCGGAGGAAGGUGGGGAGUGACGUCAAGUCCUCAUGGCCUUUAUGCUUAGGGCUACACACGUGCUACAAUGGGUGGUACAAAGAGAAGCCAACUCGCGAGAGCGCGCCAAUCUCAAAAAGCCAUCCUCAGUUCGGAUUGGAGUCUGCAACUCGACUCCAUGAAGUUGGAAUCGCCAGUAAUCGCGGAUCAGCAUGCCGCGGUGAAUACGUUCCCGGGCCUU
RNAcentral lists this ribosomal RNA (237 nucleotides) under uncultured Smithella sp. RNAcentral describes it as "partial 16S ribosomal RNA". It matches the Rfam family "Bacterial small subunit ribosomal RNA", at positions 1147 to 1382 of the family's 1533-position model. The record is from RNAcentral. Lineage: Bacteria; Pseudomonadati; Thermodesulfobacteriota; Syntrophia; Syntrophales; Smithellaceae.